RNAcentral lists this ribosomal RNA (434 nucleotides) under uncultured Lachnospiraceae bacterium. RNAcentral describes it as "partial 16S ribosomal RNA". It matches the Rfam family "Bacterial small subunit ribosomal RNA", at positions 341 to 792 of the family's 1533-position model. Lineage: Bacteria; Bacillati; Bacillota; Clostridia; Lachnospirales; Lachnospiraceae. The record is from RNAcentral.
ACGGAAGGCAGCAGUGGGGAAUAUUGGACAAUGGGGGAAACCCUGAUCCAGCGACGCCGCGUGAGCGAAGAAGUAUUUCGGUAUGUAAAGCUCUAUCAGCAGGGAAGAAAAUGACGGUACCUGACUAAGAAGCCCCGGCUAACUACGUGCCAGCAGCCGCGGUAAUACGUAGGGGGCAAGCGUUAUCCGGAUUUACUGGGUGUAAAGGGAGCGCAGGCGGUAUGCUAAGUCUGAUGUGAAAACCCGGGGCUCAACCUCGGGAUUGCAUUGGAAACUGGUAAACUUGAGUGUCGGAGAGGUAAGCGGAAUUCCUAGUGUAGCGGUGAAAUGCGUAGAUAUUAGGAGGAACACCAGUGGCGAAGGCGGCUUACUGGACGAUAACUGACGCUGAGGCUCGAAAGCGUGGGGAGCAAACAGGAUUAGAUACCCUGGUA